Long non-coding RNA from Poecilia latipinna (sailfin molly), 166 nucleotides. RefSeq lists it as uncharacterized. NCBI's taxonomy places the organism in Eukaryota, Metazoa, Chordata, Actinopteri, Cyprinodontiformes, Poeciliidae. The transcript is spliced from 3 exons. The record is from RefSeq and is a predicted model, not a curated record.
AAAAGUAAAAUACAUCUCACAUUUUCUGUUUUUGUUUUGAAGGUUUCAUAAAGACACGAUGUGAGGAGGAAGAAGAGGGAAAUAUCUUUAAAGAGAGAGGGAUUCACUGCACAGCACGGAUGAAUCUUGCAUCGGAUUUUGGACUCAAUCUCAGCUGCUGAAUCAC